GAUGAACGCUGGCGGCGUGCCUAAUACAUGCAAGUCGAGCGAACAGACGAGGAGCUUGCUCCUCUGACGUUAGCGGCGGACGGGUGAGUAACACGUGGAUAACCUACCUAUAAGACUGGGAUAACUUCGGGAAACCGGAGCUAAUACCGGAUAAUAUAUUGAACCGCAUGGUUCAAUAGUGAAAGACGGUUUUGCUGUCACUUAUAGAUGGAUCCGCGCCGCAUUAGCUAGUUGGUAAGGUAACGGCUUACCAAGGCAACGAUGCGUAGCCGACCUGAGAGGGGGAACGGCCAAACAGGAACGGGAAAAAGGGCCAAAACCAAACGGGGGGCAGGAGUAGGGAAUUUUCCGAAAAGGGAGAAAGCGUAACGGAAAAACGCCGGGGGAGGGAAGAAGGUUUUAGGAAUGGAAAAAUUUUUUAUGAGGGAAAAAAAAAUGUGGAAAAAAAUAUGCAAGUUGUGAAGGUAAAAAAGAAAAAAGCCAAGGAUAACUAAGU
This 496-nucleotide ribosomal RNA is filed under the name uncultured bacterium. Its description in RNAcentral is "partial 16S ribosomal RNA". It matches the Rfam family "Bacterial small subunit ribosomal RNA", at positions 28 to 506 of the family's 1533-position model. The record is from RNAcentral.